This 492-nucleotide ribosomal RNA is filed under the name Triticum aestivum (bread wheat). RNAcentral describes it as "partial small subunit ribosomal RNA". The record is from RNAcentral. Lineage: Eukaryota; Viridiplantae; Streptophyta; Magnoliopsida; Poales; Poaceae.
AUGAGGAUUUUAGUGUGGAACUGCCGGGGAUUGGGGAAUGGCCCGACAGUGAGAGGUCUUCUGGAUCUUCAGAAGGUGGACCCUGACAUCCUCUUCUUAUCUGAAACUAAACUAGAUAAAAGGAGGAUGGAGAAGUUUAAGUGGAAGCUAGGUAUGAGGAACAUGAUGACAAGGGAUUGUGAAGGAAAGAGUGGAGGGUUGGCAUUACUAUGGAAGAAUGAAGUAAACUUGGAGCUGCACAACUACUCCAGGUAUCAUAUUGAUGUAAAAGUAGUGGAGACAGAUGGUUUUAAAUGGCGCUUCACGGGCAUUUAUGGGGAGCCUGCAAGCGACAAAAAGAAGAUAACUUGGAAGUUAUUGCGCAGCCUUAAUCAACAGCUUAAUCUCCCAUGGUUAUGCGCUGGCGAUUUUAAUGAGAUCGUGUAUAGUCAUGAGAAGAAGGGGGGCCAGCUAGAAAACACAGUCAAAUGGAAAGUUUUAGAGCAGCCCUAG